UUCUAUUGGUGUACUCAUUGAUCAUUUCUGGGAAUGUUUGUUCUUGAGCAAGUGUUAAUGUUGAAUGUUCUUUGGUUCGAUUCAUGAUAUAUGUGAUGUUUUGAUGAAAAUUGAUGUUGGAUUCUUACUUGCCAUGCCAUGCUGAACAUUUCUGUGUAACCAAUUUGGAAUUCUGGGAAAUUUCAUGAAAACACGAUUUG
This 200-nucleotide long non-coding RNA is filed under the name Lathyrus oleraceus (garden pea). RNAcentral's name for it is "Pisum sativum (pea) long non-coding RNA (PSAT_LNC014112)". The record is from RNAcentral. Lineage: Eukaryota; Viridiplantae; Streptophyta; Magnoliopsida; Fabales; Fabaceae.